UACGUAGGGGGCAAGCGUUAUCCGGAUUUACUGGGUGUAAAGGGAGCGCAGGCGGUAUGGCAAGUCAGAUGUGAAAACCCAGGGCUCAACCCUGGGACUGCAUUUGGAACUGUGCUGCUAGAGUGUCGGAGAGGCAGGCGGAAUUCCUAGUGUAGCGGUGAAAUGCGUAGAUAUUAGGAGGAACACCAGUGGCGAAGGCGGCUUACUGGACGGUAACUGACGCUGAGGCUCGAAAGCGUGGGGAGCAAACAGG
This 253-nucleotide ribosomal RNA is filed under the name uncultured Eubacteriales bacterium. RNAcentral's name for it is "uncultured Clostridiales bacterium partial 16S ribosomal RNA". It matches the Rfam family "Bacterial small subunit ribosomal RNA", at positions 524 to 776 of the family's 1533-position model. Lineage: Bacteria; Bacillati; Bacillota; Clostridia; Eubacteriales. The record is from RNAcentral.